UUCGCUUGAAUAGGGAGGUUGUGGGUUCGAACCCCCACAGCCCCCUUAUUUUUCCUCUCAUUUUCGCUGAAGAGGAGGCUGUGAGGUGGUGGGUUCGAACCCCCACAGCCCCUCUAUUUUUUUUUUUAAUUCUUUGACAUCCAAAAAUUUCCAGAUUCUUUUUAAACCUAUUUCUAUGUUUUUGGAAAUUUAUUCCACUAUUUUUUCUGCACUUUUUCAUCAAGUUUCACAUUAGUUCUUAGGGAGAUUUCAUGGUUCAUUCACUUCACUAUGCUUCAUCAAAAUGAACAUCACAUUGCACACCCAUUUCACACAUAAAAUACAUGAUAAAUAAACAACUUAUAUACCCAAAACAAUGCCUAAAACACUGCCCUAUACACACCCAUACAUCAACUUUUUCCGGUCAUAUUCUGAUGAUCAUUAUCGCGAUUUCCCGCACAUAAACACACUCAUAUUUAAUUUAAACACAUCAUUCAUGCAAAAAUCUAGCAGCACAACAUACCCAUCCUACAAAUUCAUUAGGGAGCUAAGGACAAGGACAUACGAAGGGGAACAACCUUAGUUUCAAGAGUUUAAGAAACGUCCGAAAGAAAGUACUCUUGGAGAAAGAAUUCCAUGAGAGAAACUCAUACCUUAAUCGAUGUUCAAACUUUAAUGUUGCUGCCCGGAAAACUCCUCCAAACCACUCCCAAUUCACUUCAAAGUAUACCUCUCUUAGCCUUGACGUUUUGAUUACUUUUUCUUUUGCUUAAAAAAUUUUUUUUGUGAGUUCUUCAAGCAUGAAAAUUAUUGAUAUUUUGGCAGAAAUAAUGUGAGGAAGAUGGAGAACGUGAGAGAGGGAGUUUAGAAGCGUGAGAGAGAGAGGACUAAUUGGAUU
RNAcentral lists this long non-coding RNA (877 nucleotides) under Solanum lycopersicum (tomato). RNAcentral describes it as "partial TCONS_00032763". The record is from RNAcentral. Lineage: Eukaryota; Viridiplantae; Streptophyta; Magnoliopsida; Solanales; Solanaceae.